Molecule: non-coding RNA, 73 nt
Organism: Phrynosoma platyrhinos (Desert horned lizard)
Lineage: Eukaryota; Metazoa; Chordata; Lepidosauria; Squamata; Phrynosomatidae
Source: the annotation of a GenBank genome assembly
AGCUAGUGUGGCAUAGUGGUUUGAGCAUUUGACUACAACUCUGGAGACCAGGGUUCAAUUCCCAGCUUGGCCA